UGAGGAAUUUUGCGCAAUGGGAGCAAUCCUGACGCAACAACGCCGCGUGGGUGAUGAAGGCCUUCGGGUCGUAAAGCCCUGUCAGGUGGGAAGAAUGUCCCGGGACUGAACAGGUUUUGGGAGUGACGGUACCACCAGAGGAAGCACCGGCUAACUCCGUGACCGCAGCCGCGGUAAUACGGAGGGUGCAAGCGUUAUUCGGAAUUACUGGGCGUAAAGCGCGUGUAGGCGGGUCUGCAAGUCGGAUGUGAAAGCCCCGGGCUUAACCCGGGAAGUGCAUUGGAAACUGUGGGACUUGAG
This 300-nucleotide ribosomal RNA is filed under the name uncultured prokaryote. Its description in RNAcentral is "bacterial SSU rRNA". It matches the Rfam family "Bacterial small subunit ribosomal RNA", at positions 355 to 646 of the family's 1533-position model. The record is from RNAcentral.